AACACAUGCAAGUCGAACGGGCGUAGCAAUACGUCAGUGGCAGACGGGUGAGUAACACGUGGGAACGUACCUCUUGGUUCGGAACAACACAGGGAAACUUGUGCUAAUACCGGAUAAGCCCUUACGGGGAAAGAUUUAUCGCCGAGAGAUCGGCCCGCGUCUGAUUAGCUAGUUGGUAGGGUAAUGGCCUACCAAGGCGACGAUCAGUAGCUGGUCUGAGAGGAUGAUCAGCCACAUUGGGACUGAGACACGGCCCAAACUCCUACGGGAGGCAGCAGUGGGGAAUAUUGGACAAUGGGGGCAACCCUGAUCCAGCCAUGCCGCGUGAGUGAUGAAGGCCCUAGGGUUGUAAAGCUCUUUUGUGCGGGAAGAUAAUGACGGUACCGCAAGAAUAAGCCCCGGCUAACUUCGUGCCAGCCGCCGCGGUAAUUC
RNAcentral lists this ribosomal RNA (432 nucleotides) under uncultured bacterium. RNAcentral describes it as "bacterial SSU rRNA". It matches the Rfam family "Bacterial small subunit ribosomal RNA", at positions 50 to 526 of the family's 1533-position model. RNAcentral also lists the same sequence under 1 other name. The record is from RNAcentral.